UUGGGUUGCAAAAAAGUUCAUUUGGGUUUUUCUGUAUGAUGUUAUGGAAAAACCCAAACAAACUUUUUGGUCAUCCCAAU
This 80-nucleotide microRNA precursor is filed under the name Ovis aries (sheep). RNAcentral's name for it is "miRNA (ENSOARG00000024712.1)". Lineage: Eukaryota; Metazoa; Chordata; Mammalia; Artiodactyla; Bovidae. The record is from RNAcentral.